AAUUAAGUUCCUUCAAAACAGGAAAAGGAAAUACAUUCAAAAAUUCAAAAUGCUGAGUAACGGUCCAAAGUUCAGUAGAAGAAAUCUCAGUGGAGGGAACAUCAGCUGGCAUGGCGUCUUUUCAGUGGCCCUAAUAAAGACCUUCAAAGUGAAAAGACUGAUUCCCGUGGUGAUUCACAGUGGACCCACUACACUUGAUGUAUGUACAGCUGGACGUGGAACAUAAUGAUGCAGAGGCUGGACGAGAAGACAUUAUUAAAGGAGCGUGUGUUUACAUGGAUGAAGAUCCAGAAAACCUGGUCCAGGAAUAUGUGUGGAUGAAGAGCCCGUUAACGACGCCG
Molecule: long non-coding RNA, 341 nt
Organism: Oryzias melastigma (Indian medaka)
Lineage: Eukaryota; Metazoa; Chordata; Actinopteri; Beloniformes; Adrianichthyidae
Exons: 4
Source: RefSeq, a predicted model, not a curated record